AUGCUUCAGCAGCAUGUUUGCUAAAAUUGUAGCAAUAUAGAAAAGAUUAGCAUAGCCCCUGUGGCAAGAAUCACAAGCAAAUUCAUAAAGCAUUCCAGUAAAGA
Molecule: small nuclear RNA, 104 nt
Organism: Dipodomys ordii (Ord's kangaroo rat)
Lineage: Eukaryota; Metazoa; Chordata; Mammalia; Rodentia; Heteromyidae
Source: Ensembl